GAAACCGUGUGCUUACAAGUAGUCAGAGCCCGUUAAUGGGUGAUGGCGUGCCUUUUGUAGAAUGAACCGGCGAGUUACGAUUUGAUGCAAGGUUAAGCAGUAAAUGUGGAGCCGUAGCGAAAGCGAGUCUGAAUAGGGCGUUUAGUAUUUGGUCGUAGACCCGAAACCAGGUGAUCUACCCUUGGUCAGGUUGAAGUUCAGGUAACACUGAAUGGAGGACCGAACCGACUUACGUUGAAAAGUGAGCGGAUGAACUGAGGGUAGCGGAGAAAUUCCAAUCGAACCUGGAGAUAGCUGGUUCUCUCCGAAAUAGCUUUAGGGCUAGCCUCAAGUGAUGAUUAUUGGAGGUAGAGCACUGUUUGGACGAGGGGCCCCUCUCGGGUUACCGAAUUCAGACAAACUCCGAAUGCCAAUUAAUUUAACUUGGGAGUCAGAACAUGGGUGAUAAGGUCCGUGUUCGAAAGGGAAACAGCCCAGACCACCAGCUAAGGUCCCAAAAUAUAUGUUAAGUGGAAAAGGAUGUGGCGUUGCCCAGACAACUAGGAUGUUGGCUUAGAAGCAGCCAUCAUUUAAAGAGUGCGUAAUAGCUCACUAGUCGAGUGACACUGCGCCGAAAAUGUACCGGGGCUAAACAUAUUACCGAAGCUGUGGAUUGUCCUUUGGACAAUGGUAGGAGAGCGUUCUAAGGGCGUUGAAGCAUGAUCGUAAGGACAUGUGGAGCGCUUAGAAGUGAGAAUGCCGGUGUGAGUAGCGAAAGACGGGUGAGAAUCCCGUCCACCGAUUGACUAAGGUUUCCAGAGGAAGGCUCGUCCGCUCUGGGUUAGUCGGGUCCUAAGCUGAGGCCGACAGGCGUAGGCGAUGGAUAACAGGUUGAUAUUCCUGUACCACCUAUAAUCGUUUUAAUCGAUGGGGGGACGCAGUAGGAUAGGCGAAGCGUGCGAUUG
Molecule: ribosomal RNA, 944 nt
Filed under: Staphylococcus aureus
Lineage: Bacteria; Bacillati; Bacillota; Bacilli; Caryophanales; Staphylococcaceae
Description: partial 23S ribosomal RNA
Rfam family: Bacterial large subunit ribosomal RNA
Source: RNAcentral